RNAcentral lists this ribosomal RNA (468 nucleotides) under uncultured bacterium. RNAcentral's name for it is "partial 16S ribosomal RNA". It matches the Rfam family "Bacterial small subunit ribosomal RNA", at positions 28 to 507 of the family's 1533-position model. The record is from RNAcentral.
GACGAACGCUGGCGGCGUGCUUAACACAUGCAAGUCGAACGGAAAGGCCCUGCUUUUGUGGGGUGCUCGAGUGGCGAACGGGUGAGUAACACGUGAGUAACCUGCCCUUGACUUUGGGAUAACUUCAGGAAACUGGGGCUAAUACCGGAUAGGAGCUCCUGCUGCAUGGUGGGGGUUGGAAAGUUUCGGCGGUUGGGGAUGGACUCGCGGCUUAUCAGCUUGUUGGUGGGGUAGUGGCUUACCAAGGCUUUGACGGGUAGCCGGCCUGAGAGGGUGACCGGCCAAAUUGGGACUGAGAUACGGCCCAGACUCCUACGGGGGGCAGCAGUGGGGAAUAUUGCACAAUGGGCGGAAGCCUGAUGCAGCAACGCCGCGUGCGGGAUGACGGCCUUCGGGUUGUAAACCGCUUUCGCCUGUGACGAAGCGUGAGUGACGGUAAUGGGUAAAGAAGCACCGGCUAACUACGUG